Molecule: non-coding RNA, 24 nt
Filed under: Arabidopsis thaliana (thale cress)
Lineage: Eukaryota; Viridiplantae; Streptophyta; Magnoliopsida; Brassicales; Brassicaceae
Source: RNAcentral
ACUUCCAGGAGCUGUUCUCUGACU